RNAcentral lists this small RNA (498 nucleotides) under Pan troglodytes (chimpanzee). RNAcentral describes it as "processed transcript". Lineage: Eukaryota; Metazoa; Chordata; Mammalia; Primates; Hominidae. The record is from RNAcentral.
CAGGUAGAAAAAUACAAGAAAAAUUAUCUUCCAAUGCAAGGCACAGCACAGCCGCCUCACACGCCCAGCAGCUUGUUGGCUGACCACCUGCCUCCGCUCUCCUCCUUCAGGCCAUUCUCCCGUAAUAUCCAGCUCCGUUACACUUUUUAACAUGUAGGUCAGAUUCUGGCACUUGCUCGACACCCUUCCAAGCAAUCCACCUCGAAGAUCCAAGUCUGCACCUCCUCGUGAUUUAGGCAGUUUGGAUAAGGGACAAGCUGCCUCUCCCAGGGAGCCACCUGAACCACUGAACUUCCCAGAUCCUGAAUAUAAAGAGGAGGAAGACCAAGACAUACAGGGAGAAAUCAGUCAUCCUGAUGGAAAGGUGGAAAAGGUUUAUAAGAAUGGGUGCCGUGUUAUACUGUUUCCCAAUGGAACUCGAAAGGAAGUGAGUGCAGAUGGGAAGACCAUCACUGUCACUUUCUUUAAUGGUGACGUGAAGCAGGUCAUGCCAGACCA